This is a long non-coding RNA of Lathyrus oleraceus (garden pea), 664 nucleotides long. RefSeq lists it as uncharacterized. The transcript has 2 exons. Lineage: Eukaryota; Viridiplantae; Streptophyta; Magnoliopsida; Fabales; Fabaceae. The record is from RefSeq and is a predicted model, not a curated record.
GUAUCUAUUAGACAAUAACACUUAUUGGACAUGAGUACUCUUGUUUAUAUGCUUCAUGUGAUGCUUUCUCUCCUAUACUAGAUUGGUUCGAUUGAAUUUUAUAAACAAUUUUACAAAAGGGUGUAUAAAGAAACAACCAGAGUGUGCAAAAGGUAAAAUCAGAAUCAACAAUAUAAAACUACUAGGUGAGCCCAAUAUAUUACCCAAUCUCAAAGCCACCGUAAGUAUCCAUCUAAGCUGCUUCUUCUCCGUUCGCAGCACUCGCCGCCGGUUUUCUUAGAAUCCAUCGAACGGAAAUGAAGAAAGGAGUGCAUCCACAGAAGCAAUGGAUAUCGUAUGUUACUCAAUCUGGUAGGUUGAUGCAUGUCAUGAUGACAAAGAUACAUCCUGUUGGGAAAGUCUAUCAUUUUCGUGCUAAGCGGCAAAUGGCGGAAAGUUUGGGACAAAUUGCCAAGUUCAGACGUCGUUUUGGCUUGGAGAAUCCUGAGGCUGCCGAAAAGAAAUGACUUUUUUUACGGGGAGAUUUGGUUUUGAAUUUCAUGUUGGAAAAAUACCAAGGAAAAUGGUCAUGGUCUGAAGUAGUUUUUGUUUAGUUGCCAUAUCUAGUUGAACAAUAGAUAUAUUUUAAGUUAAACUUGUUUAAAUAAAUUGUUCAUCUUCUUCA